AGUCCAUGAUGAGGACACCUUCUUAAUAAAUUAUUAAAUCUCUCUCAUGCAUCGUAAAUUGUCUUAAUAUCAAAUUGAACAAAAGAAGAGAUGACAUUCCUUAACUU
Gossypium raimondii (Peruvian cotton) is the source of this 107-nucleotide non-coding RNA. Lineage: Eukaryota; Viridiplantae; Streptophyta; Magnoliopsida; Malvales; Malvaceae. The record is from Rfam.